Molecule: long non-coding RNA, 503 nt
Organism: Magnolia sinica
Lineage: Eukaryota; Viridiplantae; Streptophyta; Magnoliopsida; Magnoliales; Magnoliaceae
Exons: 3
Source: RefSeq, a predicted model, not a curated record
CACCUUUAUACAUUGCGACAACAGAGAUCUAAGGAAAGUUCGGAGUUGAAAGCUAUUUCAUCGAAAGCAACUGGUAAUUCUCGACCUAUGGAUACUAGCACUAGUAUUGACUACCAAACGAAGAGUAAAGGAAAAGCUGUUUGGGGAAGUAGUCACGCAGACAAGCAUGAUGGAGGAAUUGGACUUCACAACUCUGAAGAAGAAAAGUAAGCAGAUCACUCCGACAAUAGCUCUCUUCUGCUACCAAGCAUUGCAUAUGGUGGCUUAUGCAUUGUGGGGGUUCUCCUUUAUCGAUUUUGGGCGCAGGAUAAUGCUUAGAAUAUAGUUGUAAAGGUGUGGAUUUUGUUUAUAUACAUAGGAAUUGGAAGAAGUGAAAUUUGUUAUUCAUGUUGUGAGACUAGAGCAUACGUUGCUAUAUAAAUUGUGAGGAAUACUACAAGUGGAAAAAAAAAUGUAUUUACAUGCCCUUUGUUGUAUUUUAUUUCAAGAAAUUUGAACAACAU